Molecule: long non-coding RNA, 1103 nt
Organism: Hypanus sabinus (Atlantic stingray)
Lineage: Eukaryota; Metazoa; Chordata; Chondrichthyes; Myliobatiformes; Dasyatidae
Exons: 3
Source: RefSeq, a predicted model, not a curated record
UGGAAGAUUCGGGAGAGCUGGGCAGGAUUAGAUUUCUGAAGGACAGUAGACUGGUUUGGGGACUUUUGCAGAAGCUGCAGAGUGCGUCACAAGGGAAGAUGCCACAGAACGCUGUUGGAAGGAGAGUCCCUGUUGCAAGAAUUCUUCGUGCAGAUGAAUGCCUCCAAGGAGAAAGGGCCAAUAAUUCUGGAGAGCCAGUCCAUUCGAAGGAAGUUCAGAAUGUGGGUGGCUGGGGUCCUAUCAGACACUCAAAACUGAUGUUCUGCAUGAUGUUGUGUCCCCAUACUUGGAGAUCGCCAUAUUGCUGCGUUUUGGUAUGUCCAGAUCAGGUGACCGAUCCAAGACGUCAACUGCUUUGAGCUGGUAACUUGAUCAAGACCUCACUUUCACAAGACCACAUAGCAUCCCACAUUAAAAGAAUUCAUUUUCUGGCUCCUACCAUAUGGUGGAUGAAAGUCAUCCUUGAACUGAAGAGAUUGCUGAAGAAAAAGACGGUGGAGAAGAUAAGAAAGUCUUGCUGCUUUUUCUUUAAUGUUUAUUUUCAUAACCAUUUCAGAUCUCAGAUAAGUUUGUUUUCACCUAAUGUAGGGCACAAUGAAAUGCCUUUUUAUCAAGCAGAUCACAAAGUAAACAGUGUACACCAUGUAGAUAGAGUGAUGCAUGCAGUCUUUUUCCAGGGUGUGGAAUCAAGAACUAGAGAACAUACAGCAUGUUUAAAGUGGGAGGGGAGAGAUUUAAUAGGGAACUGAGGGGCAACUUUUUCACCCAGCAUGUUGCCUGUAUAUAGAAUAGAAUUCUGGAGGAAAUGGUUGAGGCAGGUACAUUAACAACAUUUGAUUGCCACUUGGACAGAUAGGAAAGGGGUAGAGGAUUAUGGGCCAAACAUAAGCACACAGGAUCAGCUUAGAUGUUAGCAUAUCUGGGCUGUGGACCGGUCUCUGCGCUGUAUGACUCCGUGACUCUAUAAUGAUAAAAUACAACAGCGAGUGAAGAACAGCAGAAUGGUCCAAAGAUUGUAGUACAAUGAAGUCAUGCAAAAAGGAAUGCAGGGUGAUAUUUAUGGAAUAACAGAGCAAAGUAGAUAAGGACUCAAGUACGUUGAA